Molecule: ribosomal RNA, 1168 nt
Filed under: Citrobacter freundii
Lineage: Bacteria; Pseudomonadati; Pseudomonadota; Gammaproteobacteria; Enterobacterales; Enterobacteriaceae
Description: bacterial SSU rRNA
Rfam family: Bacterial small subunit ribosomal RNA
Source: RNAcentral
GGGGGGCUACACAUGCAGUCGAACGGUAGCACAGAGGAGCUUGCUCCUCGGGUGACGAGUGGCGGACGGGUGAGUAAUGUCUGGGAAACUGCCCGAUGGAGGGGGAUAACUACUGGAAACGGUAGCUAAUACCGCAUAACGUCGCAAGACCAAAGAGGGGGACCUUCGGGCCUCUUGCCAUCGGAUGUGCCCAGAUGGGAUUAGCUAGUAGGUGGGGUAACGGCUCACCUAGGCGACGAUCCCUAGCUGGUCUGAGAGGAUGACCAGCCACACUGGAACUGAGACACGGUCCAGACUCCUACGGGAGGCAGCAGUGGGGAAUAUUGCACAAUGGGCGCAAGCCUGAUGCAGCCAUGCCGCGUGUAUGAAGAAGGCCUUCGGGUUGUAAAGUACUUUCAGCGAGGAGGAAGGUGUUGUGGUUAAUAACCACAGCAAUUGACGUUACUCGCAGAAGAAGCACCGGCUAACUCCGUGCCGGCAGCCGCGGUAAUACGGAGGGUGCAAGCGUUAAUCGGAAUUACUGGGCGUAAAGCGCACGCAGGCGGUCUGUCAAGUCGGAUGUGAAAUCCCCGGGCUCAACCUGGGAACUGCAUCCGAAACUGGCAGGCUAGAGUCUUGUAGAGGGGGGUAGAAUUCCAGGUGUAGCGGUGAAAUGCGUAAAGAUCUGGAGGAAUACCGGUGGCGAAAGCGGCCCCCUGGACAAAGACUGACGCUCAUGUGCGACAGCGUGUGGAGCAGACACGAUUAUAUACCCUGGUAGUCCACGCCAUAUACGAUGUCUACUUGGAUGUUGUGCCCUUGAGGCGUGGCUUCCGGAGCUAACGCGUUGAGUCGACCGCCUGCGGAGUACGGCCGCAAGGUUAAGACUCAAAUGAAUUGACGGGGGCCCGCACGAGCGCUCGAUCAUGUGGUUUAAUUCAAUGCAACGCGAAGAACCUUACCUACUCUUGACAUCCGGACAACUUGUCAAAAAAUGCUUCUUUGCCUUCGGGAACUCUUAAGACAGGUGCUACAUGCCCUGUCAUCAUCUCCUGUUGUGAAAUGUUUGUUUUAACUCCCGCGACUACUGCAACCCUUAUCCUUUAUUGCCAACCGGUUAGCCCCCAAGACUCAAAAGACACUGCCCCUUAUACACUAGAGGAAAGGUGGGCAAUGACUCCAAUCCACU